CAAGGCGUUAGUUCGGGUUGAUGCAGAUGAAGUUAAUCAUGGCUCUUCUGACACCGCCUUCACUCUAUCCUACUCCUUUUCCAACUUCGUCAUUGGGAAGCGUUAAUCCCCACGGGAAGGAAAAGCAAUUCUAAUUCCCACCGACAAUAGGUGCAUUCCCCACCCAUGUUUAGCUUUUCCGUUGUUGCGUGUUGCUAUGUGGUCCUUAGAAAGGAGGAGACGACAUACACUAUACAAGGUAUAAAAUCAAUCAUCCCAUUUGCCUUGCCAACUGCUUCUCUUUUCCCCUUAAAAUCGAUUGGCUUCCAUUUAUUUUGACCAAGAUAUUAACAAGGUAUAAAAUUUGAAAUUGAUUAAUCUUCUUUUAUUCUGCCAUCGAUUGCUUCAUCAAUACCGAUUCAUGUUUGUAGAGUUACUUCAGAUAAGGUGAUGCUUGAAGGGAAUAUGGGCGUCUGUUCAACGUACCUGAGUCACCUCCAUCGUACCUCAAGAAUACAAUUCAACUAUACCCACCCAGUUAGUUUUGAGGAAAAUGCAAGCUGACCUAUGUGACAAAGAAUAUUCAAUUGAUGAUGAAUGACUUACUUCCCCAUGUUAUUUGGUUCGAGACAGGUAACUUUGACUGCUUUAUAUCCUGAUAUCUUGCUUAUUACUUACUGAGAGGACUAAUACUAGGAAGAAAUACUUUAAAAAACUUGGUUUUUUGUAAUGCAUAUACCUGAUUGCAAAGAUGCUAAGGAAGUAAUUCAUGGGUUUUUUGUAAUGCAUAUACCUGAUUGCAAAGAUGCUAAGGAAGUAAUUCAUGGGAACAACUCUUAAAAAUGGGGAAACAGGUAUGGGAUCCAAUCCCAUUUUCAUCUUUUUGAAUUGGGGGCAUUUAUUACUUUUUUCUCCAAAAAUGGCUAGUAUAAUCUACCAUUUAUGUAUUUUUUGCUUAUGCUUAUUCAACUCAUUUCUUUUAUUUAUAUAUUAUAGCUCUAUAUUAUCUAGAUGUAAGUAUAUCUAAUAUGACCAUUGACAGAUGUGAUAAGUUUUGAUGAUAAGUUAUUUCUAGGAACAAGUUAUUCAGGCAUUGAAAGAACACGAUCCAUUCUUGAUCGGUUUAGAAAAGCUUUGUUAGAGGUGAUUAAGGAGGUAUUACAAAGGAGCUAGCAGAGGUUGACGAAAUAUUUGCAGCUGAAGUUAUGAUUUUAAAGGGGUUUAGUGGAAAUUUGGAUCUGAAGUCUGUGGUUCGUUUAAUUCUUCUAAAUGGUUGUCUUUUCUUAUUUAUUAUUCGGUUUAUUUUACAUUUUACUAUUUAGUUCUUUUUUUAUUUUAUUAUUAUUAUUAUUAUUUUUUGCUAUUAAGGUCUGUCAUUUUUUGAAACAAAGUCACCAUAUUCGAAUGAAGAAAAUAGUACAAAAUUGGUGAA
This is a non-coding RNA of Lactuca sativa (garden lettuce), 1411 nucleotides long. The record is from RefSeq and is a predicted model, not a curated record. NCBI's taxonomy places the organism in Eukaryota, Viridiplantae, Streptophyta, Magnoliopsida, Asterales, Asteraceae.